Molecule: non-coding RNA, 31 nt
Filed under: Homo sapiens (human)
Lineage: Eukaryota; Metazoa; Chordata; Mammalia; Primates; Hominidae
Source: RNAcentral
UCAGCUGAUGUUCUGCCAAGUCUCUGGGUGA